Molecule: transfer RNA, 75 nt
Filed under: Cistanche deserticola
Lineage: Eukaryota; Viridiplantae; Streptophyta; Magnoliopsida; Lamiales; Orobanchaceae
Description: tRNA-Met
Rfam family: tRNA
About the family: Transfer RNA (tRNA) molecules are approximately 80 nucleotides in length. Their secondary structure includes four short double-helical elements and three loops (D, anti-codon, and T loops).
Source: RNAcentral
GCGGGGUAGAGCAGUUUGGUAGCUCGCAAGGCUCAUAACCUUGAGGUCACGGGUUCAAAUCCUGCUGCAGCCGCA